Molecule: ribosomal RNA, 276 nt
Filed under: uncultured bacterium
Lineage: Bacteria
Description: partial 16S ribosomal RNA
Rfam family: Bacterial small subunit ribosomal RNA
Source: RNAcentral
CCGUUGCCGGCGACCGGCGCACGGGUGAGUAACACGUAUGCAACCUGCCCGUGGCAGGGGGAUAAGCGGGGGAAACCCCGUCUAAUACCGCGUAACGCGGCCUAGGGACAUCCCAAGGCCGCCAAGGGGAGCAAUCCCGGCCACGGAUGGGCAUGCGGCGCAUUAGCUAGUCGGCGGGGUAACGGCCCACCGAGGCGACGAUGCGUAGGGGUUCUGAGAGGAAGGCCCCCCACACUGGUACUGAGACACGGACCAGACUCCUACGGGAGGCAGCAG